AGGAUUUUAGUUUAUUUUAAAACAUUUGAUUUGCAAUCAAAAAUUAUUGUGAGUCAAUUUAUCUUA
RNAcentral lists this transfer RNA (66 nucleotides) under Rotunda rotundapex. Its description in RNAcentral is "tRNA-Ala". It matches the Rfam family "tRNA". Rfam says of the family: Transfer RNA (tRNA) molecules are approximately 80 nucleotides in length. Their secondary structure includes four short double-helical elements and three loops (D, anti-codon, and T loops). Lineage: Eukaryota; Metazoa; Arthropoda; Insecta; Lepidoptera; Bombycidae. The record is from RNAcentral.